This 413-nucleotide long non-coding RNA is filed under the name Monodelphis domestica (gray short-tailed opossum). Its description in RNAcentral is "lncRNA (ENSMODG00000049342.1)". The record is from RNAcentral. Lineage: Eukaryota; Metazoa; Chordata; Mammalia; Didelphimorphia; Didelphidae.
GGAACCAAGAUUGGGGAAUCGCUCAGUCCGACCGCGGGAAGUCCCUGAAGUCCAGUGUCUAGACAGAAGACAGGAUUACUUGAGAUGACUCCAGAUGUAGUAGAUGAUCUUGGCAUCUUCCAUGUCUGACCCACAGCACCUGCUUUAGUGGCCUUCAUGGCAACUGUUCUCAUCCAACCAUUCCACUGGGCCCAGCUUGGCAGGGGUUUCCAGAGUUGAGUGUGAACUUUCAUCAUUUCAUGAGAAAGAAAAACUUGUCAUUUUGUAGAGGACAAACCGAAGUAUUACACUUUUUUCAUUAUGUAGAGAAGAGCCGAUGGUGUACCCUGUGAAAUUGCUUUCUAUCUACCUGCCAGACUACCAGGUGAGCUGUCUUAGAGGCCACAUGGUAGACCAAUUUGCUGGAUGCCGGG